RNAcentral lists this ribosomal RNA (450 nucleotides) under uncultured Paraglomus. Its description in RNAcentral is "SSU rRNA". It matches the Rfam family "Eukaryotic small subunit ribosomal RNA", at positions 569 to 1024 of the family's 1831-position model. The record is from RNAcentral. Lineage: Eukaryota; Fungi; Glomeromycota; Glomeromycetes; Paraglomerales; Paraglomeraceae.
AGCAGCCGCGGUAAUUCCAGCUCCAAUAGCGUAUAUUAAAGUUGUUGUGGUUAAAAAGCUCGUAGUUGAACCUUGGGCCUGGCUGGCCGGUCCGCCUCACCGCGUGUACUGGUCCGGCCGGGUCUUUCCCCCUGUGGAACCCCAUGCCCUUCACUGGGUGUGGCGGGAAAACAGGACUUUUACUUUGAAAAAAUUAGAGUGCUCCAGGCAGGCCUAUGCUCGAAUACAUUAGCAUGGAAUAAUAGAAUAGGACGUGUGGUUCUAUUUUGUUGGUUUCUAGGACCGCCGUAAUGAUUAAUAGGGACAGUCGGGGGCAUCAGUAUUCAAUCGUCAGAGGUGAAAUUCUUGGAUUGAUUGAAGACUAACUACUGCGAAAGCAUUUGCCAAGGAUGUUUUCAUUAAUCAGGAACGAAAGUUAGGGGAUCGAAGACGAUCAGAUACCGUCGUAGU